RNAcentral lists this ribosomal RNA (163 nucleotides) under uncultured bacterium. RNAcentral's name for it is "partial 16S rRNA". It matches the Rfam family "Bacterial small subunit ribosomal RNA", at positions 355 to 511 of the family's 1533-position model. The record is from RNAcentral.
UAGGGAAUCUUCGGCAAUGGACGAAAGUCUGACCGAGCAACGCCGCGUGAGUGAAGAAGGUUUUCGGAUCGUAAAACUCUGUUGGUAGAGAAGAACGUUGGUGAGAGUGGAAAGCUCAUCAAGUGACGGUAACUACCCAGAAAGGGCGCUAACUACGUGCCAC